GGGGAAUACCUGGCGUCCAUGAGUCCCAUAGUAGGUCUCUAGUUGGUUGCGAUAGUCCCUUGACAUACCAGUCUCCCCUGGAAGACACCAAUCUACCAACUCCAGAUGCUCCUGCAUUCUCAAUGGAUGAUGUUCUCCUUUUGGAUCCGCCCGAAGGCAAGUUAAAACGGAAGGAGCAGAGGAUGAUCCUGAUUAAGGACAACCCUUCUGGGUGUCACGCUUGCCUCCUUUACCGCAGUAAUGAGUACUAUCGAAGUCUUCGCUAUUCUGAUCCCAAUUUCAUAGGUGUGUCCAUAUCUCAGGCAGUGAGCUUUCAG
RNAcentral lists this long non-coding RNA (317 nucleotides) under Pelobates cultripes (western spadefoot toad). Lineage: Eukaryota; Metazoa; Chordata; Amphibia; Anura; Pelobatidae. The record is from RNAcentral.